CCUACGGGAGGCAGCAGUGGGGAAUAUUGCACAAUGGGCGAAAGCCUGAUGCAGCGACGCCGCGUGAGGGAUGACGGCCUUCGGGUUGUAAACCUCUUUCAGUAGGGAAGAAGCGAAAGUGACGGUACCUGCAGAAGAAGCGCCGGCUAACUACGUGCCAGCAGCCGCGGUAAUACGUAGGGCGCAAGCGUUAUCCGGAAUUAUUGGGCGUAAAGAGCUCGUAGGCGGUUUGUCGCGUCUGCCGUGAAAGUCCGGGGCUCAACUCCGGAUCUGCGGUGGGUACGGGCAGACUAGAGUGAUGUAGGGGAGACUGGAAUUCCUGGUGUAGCGGUGAAAUGCGCAGAUAUCAGGAGGAACACCGAUGGCGAAGGCAGGUCUCUGGGCAUUAACUGACGCUGAGGAGCGAAAGCAUGGGGAGCGAACAGGAUUAGAUACCCUGGUAGUCCAUGCCGUAAACGUUGGGCACUAGGUGUGGGGGACAUUCCACGUUUUCCGCGCCGUAGCUAACGCAUUAAGUGCCCCGCCUGGGGAGUACGGCCGCAAGGCAAAACUCAAAUGAAUUGACGGCUGAGACGNGCGAGCGACGACGAGGGAGAG
Molecule: ribosomal RNA, 597 nt
Filed under: uncultured bacterium
Lineage: Bacteria
Description: bacterial SSU rRNA
Rfam family: Bacterial small subunit ribosomal RNA
Source: RNAcentral